GCCCGAUGAACCUGAAUAUCCGUUAUGGAAAAUUCAUCAUUAAAGUUGUAAUAUUUUAACAAUAUUAUAAUAAUAGUGUGCAUUUUUUCCAUAUAAGGACAUUGUAAUCUAUUAGCAUAUAACAAAUUUAUCAUAAAAUAUGACUUAUAGUUUAUUCAAAUUAUUAUGCUUGCAUUUUAACAUAGAAUAAAUGUCAUUAAUUUGAUAAAGUGUUGAUAAAUUAAAAUUAAUACAGUGCGUUAAUUUUUCGAAAUUAUAUAAUGGCAUAAUUAUCAUUGAUUUUUGUGUUUAUUAUAUGCAUUUGUAUGAUUAACAAUGCGAAAGAUUCAGGAUACUUCGGG
This 341-nucleotide ribosomal RNA is filed under the name Drosophila pseudoobscura. RNAcentral describes it as "eukaryotic LSU rRNA". The record is from RNAcentral. Lineage: Eukaryota; Metazoa; Arthropoda; Insecta; Diptera; Drosophilidae.